AGUGAACGCUGGCGGUAGGCCUAACACAUGCAAGUCGAACGGCAGCACAGUAAGAGCUUGCUCUUACGGGUGGCGAGUGGCGGACGGGUGAGGAAUACAUCGGAAUCUACUUUUUCGUGGGGGAUAACGUAGGGAAACUUACGCUAAUACCGCAUACGACCUACGGGUGAAAGCAGGGGAUCUUCGGACCUUGCGCGAUUGAAUGAGCCGAUGUCGGAUUAGCUAGUUGGCGGGGUAAAGGCCCACCAAGGCGACGAUCCGUAGCUGGUCUGAGAGGAUGAUCAGCCACACUGGAACUGAGCCACGGUCCAGACUCCUACGGGAGGCAGCAGUGGGGAAUAUUGGACAAUGGGCGCAAGCCUGAUCCAGCCAUACCGCGUGGGUGAAGAAGGCCUUCGGGUUGUAAAGCCCUUUUGUUGGGAAAGAAAAGCAGCAGGUUAAUACCCCGCUGUUCUGACGUUACCCAAAGAAUAAGCACCGGCUAACUUCGUG
RNAcentral lists this ribosomal RNA (492 nucleotides) under uncultured bacterium. RNAcentral describes it as "partial 16S ribosomal RNA". It matches the Rfam family "Bacterial small subunit ribosomal RNA", at positions 29 to 507 of the family's 1533-position model. The record is from RNAcentral.